Brassica napus (rape) is the source of this 2217-nucleotide RNA transcript. RefSeq lists it as uncharacterized. NCBI's taxonomy places the organism in Eukaryota, Viridiplantae, Streptophyta, Magnoliopsida, Brassicales, Brassicaceae. The record is from RefSeq and is a predicted model, not a curated record. The transcript has 7 exons.
GUGUGUUAGAGAGAUAUUUCUAGGGUUUGUUCCAUUCUACGGCAACGAUGAAAGGCGACGAUGUGUCGGUGAAACGAGCUUCGACGGAGGUGGAAUCUGACGCUUCUGUCUCUAAAAAACCAAAGAUCGAAGACGAAGACGACACAAGCAUGGAAGAAGAAAGCGAUAGCGAUAACGAAGGCUUAUGGAGUGUCGACGCAGAAGACGAUGGUGACGUCGUGAGAUCUCCGACAAUCAACUAUUCAAACAUGCAAGAUCCGGAACCGGAGUGGGAUAAGGACAGUUACGAUGGCUACGAAUUGAAAUUCGAUCCUGACGGCCGUGAAGGUUUCUCCAGCGACAAGGCGUACCAAGAGUUCCGCGAGUAUAAAACCAAGGCCUUUGAGAAUAGGGGGUUUUUAGAAGAUCCAUUCAGAUCCAUCUACCCCAUUAGAGAUCUGGACGAUCUCUGGACAACCACCACUAAGAGGCAAUAUUUGACAGAUAUUGCUUCCCUCUGUGUUAAGAAACUCAACGAGGAGAAGGGUAUGUCUGUGGAAGUUGUAAGCAUUGUGAGAGGCAAUCUAAAACCAGGAGGUGGGUGGAAGCUCUACAUCACUUUUAUGGCCCGAGAGUAUCCGGAUGGUCCUCUCCUGGAGUAUCAAGCCAAGGCAGUGGAUUAUGCAGGACACAAAAUACCUCCAUUUCCCAUUCUCUGCAGACCAGCCUCUAGCGUAUCCUAAUCUAUGACUUGCAUUAGCGGAACACCAAGAUCAAGGUGAUUGAAAUGAUGUUUUCCAGUUAUAAGUAAGCUGAGUCCGAGGUGGAUUUAGGGUUUGUCUUAAAUGUUAGCUAUAUCUUUUGGGAGAUGUUUACUGUCAGAUAACAUGGUCAUCAUAAAACAGAUGUUUAUAUAACUCACAUAACGUUGGGUUGUUGAAUAAUAAGUUUCUGUUUAAUUGGACUAAAGAAUUUGGGACAUUAUCUUAUGCAUUUGGAAGGUCUUCGCAUGAUGCAAUUUUUCAUCACCAGAAUAUACAAUGAAAGCUCUCAUCGCAGCAUGAUCCAAUGUCCAAGCUUGGUCUAAAUGAGUCUACAAUAUAUACAAGUAUCCAAUUCACCAUGAGAGGAUGAUUCUUUCCCCAACAAAAUUACUUAAGAGAUGGUGAUUUUCGUAGUGACUGCUUUGAUACCUGCUAAUAACAAAAACUUGUUACAAAGAAAACCUGUGCUAUUUUUAAAUAAACGGGGGCUGUAAAAUUACUAUGGGGCUUGUAUCAGGUAUGGCCCAUAUAAUUGCUCACUGGCCCAAAUAAUCUUCCGACCGAGUCACGUGCGCAAAUAGACAGAGAGAGAGAUAUAAGGACACAUACCGUUUCAUUAUUCCCAAUUUGUGUGUUGCGAGAGAGAGAGAGAGAGAUAUCUAGGGUUUGAUCGAUUCUCCAGCGACGAUGUUAAGCGACGAUUUGGGGACGAAAAGAGCUGCGACUGAGGAGGAAUCUGACUCUUCUGUCUCAAAAAAGCCGAAGAUCGAAGAUGAAGACGACACAUGCAUGGAAGACGAAGGCGAUAGCGAUAGCGAUAGCAAUAACCCAUUCUUAUGGAGUACCGACGAAGAAAAGGAUGACUCUCCGACAAUCAACUAUUCAAACUUGCAAGAUCCGGAACCGGAGUGGGAUAAGGACAGUUACGAUGGUUACGAAUUGGAAUUCGAUGCUGACGGCCGUGAAGGUUUCCCCGACGACAAGGCGUACCAAGACUUCCGCGACUAUAAAACCAAGGCCUUUAAGAGUAGGGGGUUUUUUGAAGAUCCAUUCAGAUCCAUCUACCCCAUUAUAGAUCUGGAAGGUCCUUGGUCAGACACGACAAACGUGACUAGGAGGCAAUAUUUGGCAAAUAUUGCUUCCCUGUGUGUUAAGAAACUCAACGAGCAGAAUGAUGUGUGUGUGUGUUUUGUACUUAGCGUUCGUCUGUGGAAGUUGUAAGCGUUGUGAGAGGCAAUCUAAAACCAGGAGGUGGGUAUAAGCUCUACAUUACCUUUAUGGCUCGGGAGUAUCCCAAUGGUCCUCUCGUGGAGUAUCAAGCCAAGGCCAUGGAUUUUGCAGGAGGCAGAAAACCUCCCUUCCCCAUUCUCUGCAGGCCAGCCUCUAGCAUAUCCUAAUCUGUGACUUGCAUUAGGGUAUGGUGCUCUUCUAGAGGAAGAUUUAGAUCAAAAUAAGGCUUUCGAGUUACAAGUUU